Molecule: transfer RNA, 72 nt
Filed under: bacterium
Lineage: Bacteria
Description: tRNA-Met
Rfam family: tRNA
About the family: Transfer RNA (tRNA) molecules are approximately 80 nucleotides in length. Their secondary structure includes four short double-helical elements and three loops (D, anti-codon, and T loops). Further hydrogen bonds mediate the characteristic L-shaped molecular structure. tRNAs have two regions of fundamental functional importance: the anti-codon, which is responsible for specific mRNA codon recognition, and the 3' end, to which the tRNAs corresponding amino acid is attached (by aminoacyl-tRNA synthetases). tRNAs cope with the degeneracy of the genetic code in two manners: having more than one tRNA (with a specific anti-codon) for a particular amino acid; and 'wobble' base-pairing, i.e. permitting non-standard base-pairing at the 3rd anti-codon position.
Source: RNAcentral
GCCAAGAUAGCUCAGUGGCAGAGCAGUCGUUUCAUAAGCGACCGGUCGUCGGUUCGAAUCCGACUCUUGGCA